RNAcentral lists this ribosomal RNA (484 nucleotides) under uncultured bacterium. RNAcentral's name for it is "partial 16S ribosomal RNA". It matches the Rfam family "Bacterial small subunit ribosomal RNA", at positions 28 to 523 of the family's 1533-position model. The record is from RNAcentral.
GACGAACGCUGGCGGCGUGCUUAACACAUGCAAGUCGAACGAUGAAGCCGGAGCUUGCUCUGGUGAAUUAGUGGCGAACGGGUGAGUAACACGUGAGUAACCUGCCCUUGACUCUGGGAUAACUGCUAGAAAUGGUAGCUAAUACCGGAUACGACCCUCGGCGGCAUCGCCAGGGGGUGGAAAGAAUUUCGGUCAAGGAUGGACUCGCGGCCUAUCAGCUAGUUGGUGAGGUAACGGCUCACCAAGGCGACGACGGGUAGCCGGCCUGAGAGGGUGACCGGCCACACUGGGACUGAGACACGGCCCAGACUCCUACGGGAGGCAGCAGUGGGGAAUAUUGCACAAUGGGCGCAAGCCUGAUGCAGCAACGCCGCGUGAGGGAUGACGGCCUUCGGGUCGUAAACCUCUUUUAGUAGGGAAGAAGCGAAAGUGACGGUACCUGCAGAAAAAGCACCGGUUAACUACGUGCCAGCAGCCGCCGUAA